UUAUUGGAGUUUUUAGACUCCACCAAUAUAAUAAAAAAAUUAACA
Molecule: non-coding RNA, 45 nt
Organism: Gossypium arboreum
Lineage: Eukaryota; Viridiplantae; Streptophyta; Magnoliopsida; Malvales; Malvaceae
Source: Rfam